UACGGGGGAGCAAGCGUUGUUCGGAUUUACUGGGCGUAAAGGGCGCGUAGGCGGUCGUGACAAGUCACUUGUGAAAUCUCCGGGCUUAACUCGGAACGGUCAAGUGAUACUGUCGGACUAGAGUACAGAAGGGGCAACUGGAAUUCUCGGUGUAGCGGUGAAAUGCGCAGAUAUCGGGAGGAACACCCGUAGCGAAGGCGGCACUCUGGGCCGUGACGUGACGCUGAGGAGCGAAAAGCGUGGGGAGCAAACAGGGA
RNAcentral lists this ribosomal RNA (257 nucleotides) under uncultured bacterium. RNAcentral's name for it is "partial 16S ribosomal RNA". It matches the Rfam family "Bacterial small subunit ribosomal RNA", at positions 524 to 778 of the family's 1533-position model. The record is from RNAcentral.